UUUUGCUGAUAAAGAAAGGAAAAAGCCAGUGAAGAAAGUGGGAUAUAAAAGCAGGAUUCCUGAGAGGGGGGCCGCCUGCCCCAUCCCCACGCUCCCGCCCCACACAGGCUCAUGCUGCAGCCCCCUCGGGAACCCUGCUCGGGCACAUCAGCCCGACCUGGUGACAAACCACACACAGAGAAUGAUUCCUCCAGCAGUCACAGAGGUUAUGUUCACUGGCAUCCUUCCACGGCUCCUUUGUGAAAAAAAGAAGAGCCCUUUCUAAUCACUGCAAAUGACUCAUCUAUGAGCAGCCUUCGUCCUCGUCCUCUGCCUCGCCGUGGCUCCGGCGUGCGAGGGAGCAGCGUGAGCAGGCAGCGUGAGCCCUGCCUGCCCUGCCAGCUCCUGCAGCACCCCAGGGGCUGAGGCAUCGCAUCAUGGGGCCACCCACCCCAGCCACAGGAGCAGGCACCCAGCAGCACAGCUGAAAGCCACCUUGUUGGCCCCUCUCCCCACCACGGCAGCCAGCGCUCAGCCCCUCACCCCCCAUCUUGCCAGCUGCAGACCUGCAUGGAGGGAUUCGGGGUGAAGCUUAAGCCUCAGCUGCUUUGCAAAGUGCAAUGAGUCCUGCUCAAGAGCCUGGGCUGCUCCAUGCGCAGGAUUUGGCCCACGGAGCCCCGUUAGUGUAGUGCCAAUGGGGCUCAGCUCCCUGCACCAGUGCCCUGCAUCCUCCCCCAGGGGCACCGGGCUGUGAUCUGAUCUGAAAGGCUUCUUGCUCACACGCAGCAUGAAAAUUCAAGGUCUCUCUGAUAUUUUUUCUCUCUCCCUGUUUCUCCUGCUUUCUAUUUUUAUAAAUAAUACCUGGUCUAGAACUGAACAGAAUACCAAGCGUGCAAUUAAAUCCCCGAGCGCCAGCACUGCCUUUGAGGAGGGCUUCGAAGCAUCUCUUUCUGGAGGCGGCGAUGCCACAGAAAAGCCGCAGCUGGCUCAGACCCUCACAGAGGAGCAGAAGCGCUUAGCAGGGCCUGACCCUGCUUCAGCUGCCUCCAGAGCCUGGGCACAACCCUGGAUACCCUCGCUGGAGAUGGGACUGGACCCAUGCAUCACCCCUGAGCUGCACCCCACUGCCCCCAGGACCAGGGCUCACCCCCCUAAUUUCUUUGAUCUCAACUCCCAUUAAUGCCAGGGAACUGGGGUGGGAGCAAUCGCUCUACCCGCCUGCUGUGAGCUGGCUUAAGCGCUGCGUUGCUGGAAGGCAAAACCGAGCAGAAUUAAGAGUUCUGAGCAAGGAGAAUAAUGCACAUUCCGCAUGUGCAAAGUUGGGAGAGAAAACCUGGGGCGUGGUUGUUUUUUUCUUGCACAAAACCAUAUUCAUGCUGCUCUGAUGUACCUCAGGGGGGCUGAUAUCCACCCAGGUCGGGCAGAAUGAGCCCUUUGCUCCCGCUCUGCUCCCAGCUCCCGGCGAUGGAGGCAGCUGGGCUGAGCACGAGGCAGAGCGUGGGGCGCUGGUGACAGUCGCAACUGCCUUAGAGCUACCCCAGGGCUGCUCUAGUGCCAUCAGGCUUGGGCAUGGCAGUGCCCGAGGCUAGACAACGGGGCCAAAACCCAACGGCAGUGUGACCUGGACACAGAGCCAGGGUGAUCCAGGGAAAUGGGUGGGAUUACAGCUCUGUAAAUCAGAUGGGCGCUGGGGGAAAUGCUCCCCGCUGGAGCUCCAGCCAGCUCCCCGACGCUGGCAGGCAGCUCAGGAGGAGGAAGGCUGCGGGGUUGCCAUGACAAUCAAGCAUCUACAAAUUCUUGGAUUAUUUAUCUUCGGUUUUCUUUUGGCUGAGUGAAAGCAAGUCUUGCUUCUGGGCUAAGGGCUAUCAGCAGGCUGCGGGCACAAGGGAAACGAGUCUGGGAGCUCAGCCCAUUGUUCCGUAGCACAGAAAUGCACUUCAUAGAAGAUAAGACAUAAAAUUAAAGGCAUGUCUGCAAGUCGCCUGCUCAGCUCCAAAAAGGAGACCUUUACCAAAAAGAAGAGCUCACAAGUAUGAACUCUAACAAAAGAUGUUGAGUUGUGGCUGGUUUAUUUGCCGUUCUACUUCGCAGACACCCUGUAGCCCCAGAUCUCCCACGGGUCUACAAUUAUCUGGCACCACGAGGCCACGUUGUUAAAUCUGGCACAUGCAAUAGAGGUUUAGGCUUCUUUAGUUAAUUUUGAUGCCAGGAUAGAUUUAGAUGGGGCCCUAGAUUUGCCUGCGGGACCUGAAUUGCUGCUGGAUGGCUGUCUGCUAGGAACGCUUUCCAAAGCAAUUUCCCAAAUUCAGGAGAGGUGAUUGAAUGAUAUUCUGAUUUAUGGUAUUUCACGCCACUGCCUCGCUCCCUUGCUGCAGCACCAGAGCAUCGCACACGCUUUGAGCCGUAUCGAGCUGCAAGUUCCUUUGCAAAGACUCAGUCGGUGUCCUGUGUCUGGGGCUCAGCCCACCGCGGCCGGGCUGACGGCACUUGCAGAAAUUAAAGAUUCUUGAUGCGGAGCCUGAGCUCGUUCCAGAUGUCUCUCUGCAAAUCUGCUGUCACUCAGGCUAUGGAAAACAUGGAAACCAUGGGGAGGUUUGGAGCUGCCGGUGGCUGCGAGCUUCUAGGCGAGGUGUAAAACAAAACGAGUGUCACGUCUAGAGCCGGGAGAGACCUGAGCGUUUACCAGCCCGUGCCACCCGCUGUCAGCUUCCAGCCUCCUCCCCCUUUACAGGAACCAUGGCUGUAAUUGCUCGAGUCUAAUAACCGAUUCUUUUUGAUACCUUCAGUGUCACUGUUAUGUAAAUCCCAGUGUAAGGAUGCUGUAUAUUUUAUGGAUCGUGUGUUUGCUGAUGUCCCCGAGUGUGUGUAGCUAAAGGGAUACCUUUGAUUGUCGGAUCAAAGCAUCGUGAGAAAUGUUAAGGACACCAUGAGCAAAGAAAAACUCAAGGAAAUCAGGAGCCUGUGGUUAAAUUGAUUUGAUUUUGCCAAUAGAGGUCAGUAUGAAGUAUUAAGGCUCCUGAAAUCGUACAAAGAAAUCCCAUUACUCAAGGAACAGACAGGCUAUUUUCAGAGAGGAAAUGAUGGGAGGGAGCGAGCGAGCGAGGGAAAGGUGGCCAGAGCCAAGGAGCUCAAGGUGGUUUAGGAGGAGAUGUUGUACUUAUAAAUGGAAAUGUUCUGGAUGCAAACUCCAAGUGGGUGGAGCUGGGAGCCUGAGCAGUGCUUUGCUCGAAGGGGCCCGUAUCUCUUGCGAGGCAGCUCACGGUCAGACCAUCGCUGGUCUCACCAGAUGAUGAGAGGUCCAGAAAGAGCCACGGCAAU
Molecule: non-coding RNA, 3297 nt
Organism: Phalacrocorax carbo (great cormorant)
Lineage: Eukaryota; Metazoa; Chordata; Aves; Suliformes; Phalacrocoracidae
Source: RefSeq, a predicted model, not a curated record